This 301-nucleotide ribosomal RNA is filed under the name uncultured bacterium. Its description in RNAcentral is "partial 16S ribosomal RNA". It matches the Rfam family "Bacterial small subunit ribosomal RNA", at positions 509 to 807 of the family's 1533-position model. The record is from RNAcentral.
CAGUAGCCGCGGUAAUACAGAGGGUGCAAGCGUUAAUCGGAAUUACUGGGCAUAAAGCGCGCGUAGGUGGUUCGCCAAGUUGGAUGUGAAAUCCCCGGGCUCAACCUGGGAACUGCAUCCAAAACUGGCGAGCUAGAGUAUGGUAGAGGGUGGUGGAAUUUCCUGUGUAGCGGUGAAAUGCGUAGAUAUAGGAAGGAACAUCAGUGGCGAAGGCGACCACCUGGACUGAUACUGACACUGAGGUGCGAAAGCGUGGGGAGCAAACAGGAUUAGAUACCCCCGUAGUCCCUGUCUCUUAUAC